CGGAGGAAAAGAAACUAACAAGGAUUCCCCUAGUAACGGCGAGUGAACCGGGAAAAGCUCAAAUUUGAAAUCUGGCUGUCUUCGAUAGUCCGAGUUGUAAUCUAUAGAAGCGUUUUCCGUGCUGAACUGUGUCUAAGUCCCUUGGAACAGGGUAUCAAAGAGGGUGAUAAUCCCGUACUUGACACAACCAUCAGUGCUCUGUGAUACGUUCUCUACGAGUCGAGUUGUUUGGGAAUGCAGCUCAAAAUGGGUGGUAAAUUCCAUCUAAAGCUAAAUAUUGGCGAGAGACCGAUAGCGAACAAGUACCGUGAGGGAAAGAUGAAAAGCACUUUGGAAAGAGAGUUAAACAGUACGUGAAAUUGUUGAAAGGGAAACGAUUGAAGUCAGUCGUGUUCAUUGGAUUCAGCUAGUUCUUCUAGUCUACUUCCUUUGAACGGGUCAACAUCAGUUUUGUCCGGUGGAUAAAGGAUUUAGGAAUGUGACUCCCUCGGGAGUGUUAUAGCCUAGGUUCACAUACACUGGGUGAGACUGAGGACUGCAGCUCGCCUUUUGGCCGGGGUUCGCCCACGUUCGAGCUUAGGAUGUUGACAUAAUGGCUUUAAACGACCCGUCUUG
RNAcentral lists this ribosomal RNA (615 nucleotides) under Apiotrichum montevideense. RNAcentral describes it as "partial large subunit ribosomal RNA". It matches the Rfam family "Eukaryotic large subunit ribosomal RNA", at positions 51 to 656 of the family's 3401-position model. Lineage: Eukaryota; Fungi; Basidiomycota; Tremellomycetes; Trichosporonales; Trichosporonaceae. The record is from RNAcentral.